UACGUAGGGUGCAAGCGUUAAUCGGAAUUACUGGGCGUAAAGCGUGCGCAGGCGGUUUUGUAAGUCUGUCGUGAAAUCCCCGGGCUCAACCUGGGAAUUGCGAUGGAGACUGCAAGGCUAGAAUCUGGCAGAGGGGGGUAGAAUUCCACGUGUAGCAGUGAAAUGCGUAGAGAUGUGGAGGAACACCGAUGGCGAAUGCAGCCCCCUGGGUCAAGAUUGACGCUCAUGCACGAAAGCGUGGGGAGCAAACAGG
This 253-nucleotide ribosomal RNA is filed under the name uncultured bacterium. RNAcentral describes it as "partial 16S ribosomal RNA". It matches the Rfam family "Bacterial small subunit ribosomal RNA", at positions 524 to 776 of the family's 1533-position model. The record is from RNAcentral.